This 86-nucleotide transfer RNA is filed under the name Chloroflexota bacterium. RNAcentral's name for it is "Chloroflexi bacterium tRNA-Leu". It matches the Rfam family "tRNA". From Rfam's summary of the family: Transfer RNA (tRNA) molecules are approximately 80 nucleotides in length. Their secondary structure includes four short double-helical elements and three loops (D, anti-codon, and T loops). The record is from RNAcentral. Lineage: Bacteria; Bacillati; Chloroflexota.
GGAGGCGUCGCCCGUUGGAAAGGGCAGCUAUCUAAGAAAUAGCCUUACGUGUCUGCGUAUCGUGGGUUCGAAUCCCACCGCCUCCG